Molecule: ribosomal RNA, 440 nt
Filed under: uncultured bacterium
Lineage: Bacteria
Description: partial 16S ribosomal RNA
Rfam family: Bacterial small subunit ribosomal RNA
Source: RNAcentral
CCUACGGGAGGCAGCAGUGGGGAAUAUUGCACAAUGGCGGGAACCCUGAUGCAGCGACGCCGCGUGAAGGAAGAAGUAUUUCGGUAUGUAAACUUCUAUUAGCAGGGAAGAAAAUGACGGUACCUGACCAUGAAGCCCCGGCUAACUACGUGCCAGCAGCAGCGGGAACACGGAGGGGGCAAGCGUGAUCCGGAUUUACCGGGUGUAAAGGGGGCGUAGGCGGCAGUGCAAGGCAGAAGGGAAAGCCCAAGGCUCAACCAUGGGACUGCUUUUGAAACUGUACAGCUAGAUUGCAGGAGAGGUAAGUGGAAUGCCUAGUGUAGCGGUGAAAUGCGUAGAUAUUAGGAGGAACACCAGUGGCGAAGGCGGCUUACUGGACGGUAAAUGACGCUGAGGCUCGAAAGCGUGGGGAGCAAACAGGAUUAGAUACCCGUGUAGUC